Molecule: transfer RNA, 77 nt
Filed under: Erysipelotrichaceae bacterium
Lineage: Bacteria; Bacillati; Bacillota; Erysipelotrichia; Erysipelotrichales; Erysipelotrichaceae
Also listed under: 1 other name
Description: tRNA-Arg
Rfam family: tRNA
About the family: Transfer RNA (tRNA) molecules are approximately 80 nucleotides in length. Their secondary structure includes four short double-helical elements and three loops (D, anti-codon, and T loops). Further hydrogen bonds mediate the characteristic L-shaped molecular structure. tRNAs have two regions of fundamental functional importance: the anti-codon, which is responsible for specific mRNA codon recognition, and the 3' end, to which the tRNAs corresponding amino acid is attached (by aminoacyl-tRNA synthetases). tRNAs cope with the degeneracy of the genetic code in two manners: having more than one tRNA (with a specific anti-codon) for a particular amino acid; and 'wobble' base-pairing, i.e. permitting non-standard base-pairing at the 3rd anti-codon position.
Source: RNAcentral
GUCCAUGUAGCUCAGCUGGAUAGAGCAUCCGCCUUCUAAGCGGACGGUCGGGAGUUCGAAUCUCUCCAUGGACGCCA